RNA transcript from Apis laboriosa (Himalayan honeybee), 1355 nucleotides. It is a transcript of the gene named uroporphyrinogen-III synthase, with no coding region annotated. The transcript is spliced from 5 exons. Lineage: Eukaryota; Metazoa; Arthropoda; Insecta; Hymenoptera; Apidae. The record is from RefSeq and is a predicted model, not a curated record.
AAUAGUUACAAACAUCCGUUUCUAGUAAUAUAUAAAAUCGCGGGUGUUUAUUUUCGUUCAAAUAUCCGGUAUGCCGGGUGUGCGGUAAUUUCCUUUUCAUAUAUAACGAAAGGAAAAUUCGCGAAUAUGGCAUUACGUUACGAAAAAGUUGUUUUAUGUCGUGGUUUAUCGGAGAAAAAUGAUUCGCAAGAGGCAUACGUAAAAACCUUGAAAACGGCAGGUUAUUUGUGCGAUUGUUUGCCUACUUUGCGCUUUGAAUUCGUAAAUAUUUCGGAAUUGAGGACAUGUUUUUUAUCAUCAUCUUCAUACUAUGGACUUGUCCUGACAAGUCGUCGUGCUGCAGAGGCAAUUGAACUUUCUGCAAAAGAAGAUCCUGAUAUUCUACUUCCCUGGAAAACUUUGCCAGUGUAUUGUGUAGGACCAGCAACAGAGUCUUUUGCUAAAAGUCACUUAGGUUCAGAGAACUGCUUUGGUAAAGAGGCUGGUAAUGCCAAAGAAUUAGCAGAAUUGUUAGUGGCCUCGAUUGCAAAAAAGUCAAAACCUUUACUUUAUCCUUGUAGUGAAAUUGGACGCGAGACAAUAGAAAAGACUCUUAAUGAAAAUGACAUUAAAAUUCAUAAAAUAGUUGUUUAUAAAACUUUGGCUAGUAAAACUUUAGAACAUGAUCUAUUAAAAUUCAUGGACAAUGUGCCCAAAAUCUUCAUAUUUUUUAGUCCAUCUACAGUAGAAUACAUAGUAACAUUAUUGAAAAAAAAGUCUUAUGAUCUAAACAAUAUAAAAGCAGUUGCUAUUGGACCUGUGACUAGACAAGCAUUACUUGAUGCUGGUUUUAAAGUUUUUGCCACUGCAAACAAACCUGAUCCUGUAUCUUUGUUGGAUGCUAUUAAUAAUGCUGAUGAAAGUGAACUUAAUGAAAAGACUGAAUGAAGAAAUUAUUUACUGUUAUACUAUAUCAAGUCGCAAGAUCAAGGAUAGAAUUGCGAACAAGGAAGCGAGGAUCCAGGGUUAGUAACGUCGAAUAUGGUGAUUCCUGACCGGUGGAUCGGAGGUGGAUCGUUAAUGGAAGAAGGCCCGUCGUGAUUUCAAUCAGCCUGACCUCCGAUUUCCGACUUCCCUGUACGUGAUUCGGUCGUCACGGCUUCGUGACUCCAGCGAAAUCGAUCGAGCUUCAUCCGCGCCUUUCCUCUUCGAAGAAUGCGCGGGAAAGGGAAACAUGUUUGAAAAACGUGCUUCGAUCUCCCGCCUCCUUACUAAACAUUGCCGGUUCGAUUGAAAAAGACGACGGCGUAGUUGGACCGGGGGGAGAAGGACGAGGAGAGGAGUGGAAGGCCUGAUUUAACGAGGUGGCAUGCCAG